RNAcentral lists this ribosomal RNA (719 nucleotides) under Escherichia coli. Its description in RNAcentral is "partial 23S ribosomal RNA". It matches the Rfam family "Bacterial large subunit ribosomal RNA", at positions 2212 to 2925 of the family's 2925-position model. Lineage: Bacteria; Pseudomonadati; Pseudomonadota; Gammaproteobacteria; Enterobacterales; Enterobacteriaceae. The record is from RNAcentral.
GUUUGAUGUUCUAACGUGGACCCGUGAUCCGGGUUGCGGACAGUGUCUGGUGGGUAGUUUGACUGGGGCGGUCUCCUCCUAAAGAGUAACGGAGGAGCACGAAGGUUGGCUAAUCCUGGUCGGACAUCAGGAGGUUAGUGCAAUGGCAUAAGCCAGCUUGACUGCGAGCGUGACGGCGCGAGCAGGUGCGAAAGCAGGUCAUAGUGAUCCGGUGGUUCUGAAUGGAAGGGCCAUCGCUCAACGGAUAAAAGGUACUCCGGGGAUAACAGGCUGAUACCGCCCAAGAGUUCAUAUCGACGGCGGUGUUUGGCACCUCGAUGUCGGCUCAUCACAUCCUGGGGCUGAAGUAGGUCCCAAGGGUAUGGCUGUUCGCCAUUUAAAGUGGUACGCGAGCUGGGUUUAGAACGUCGUGAGACAGUUCGGUCCCUAUCUGCCGUGGGCGCUGGAGAACUGAGGGGGGCUGCUCCUAGUACGAGAGGACCGGAGUGGACGCAUCACUGGUGUUCGGGUUGUCAUGCCAAUGGCACUGCCCGGUAGCUAAAUGCGGAAGAGAUAAGUGCUGAAAGCAUCUAAGCACGAAACUUGCCCCGAGAUGAGUUCUCCCUGACUCCUUGAGAGUCCUGAAGGAACGUUGAAGACGACGACGUUGAUAGGCCGGGUGUGUAAGCGCAGCGAUGCGUUGAGCUAACCGGUACUAAUGAACCGUGAGGCUUAACCUU